CAACUUUCAGCAACGGAUCUCUUGGCUCUCGCAUCGAUGAAGAACGCAGCGAAAUGCGAUAAGUAAUGUGAAUUGCAGAAUUCAGUGAAUCAUCGAAUCUUUGAACGCACCUUGCGCUCCUUUCAAUGGAGCAUGCCUGUUUGAGUGUCAUUAAAU
This 156-nucleotide ribosomal RNA is filed under the name Cortinarius sp. PDD 103684. Its description in RNAcentral is "5.8S ribosomal RNA". It matches the Rfam family "5.8S ribosomal RNA". Rfam says of the family: 5.8S ribosomal RNA (5.8S rRNA) is a component of the large subunit of the eukaryotic ribosome. Lineage: Eukaryota; Fungi; Basidiomycota; Agaricomycetes; Agaricales; Cortinariaceae. The record is from RNAcentral.